RNAcentral lists this ribosomal RNA (253 nucleotides) under uncultured bacterium. RNAcentral describes it as "partial 16S ribosomal RNA". It matches the Rfam family "Bacterial small subunit ribosomal RNA", at positions 524 to 776 of the family's 1533-position model. The record is from RNAcentral.
UACAGAGGUCUCAAGCGUUGUUCGGAUUCAUUGGGCGUAAAGGGUGCGUAGGCGGUGAAAUAAGUUGGAUGUGAAAUCCCGGAGCUUAACUCCGGAACUGCAUUCAAUACUGUUUUGCUAGAGUACUGGAGAGGAGAUUGGAAUUCACGGUGUAGCAGUGAAAUGCGUAGAUAUCGUGAGGAAGACCAGUGGCGAAGGCGAAUCUCUGGACAGUUACUGACGCUGAGACACGAAGGCCAGGGGAGCAAACGGG